Molecule: ribosomal RNA, 328 nt
Filed under: uncultured eukaryote
Lineage: Eukaryota
Description: partial 18S ribosomal RNA
Rfam family: Eukaryotic small subunit ribosomal RNA
Source: RNAcentral
CCCUUAGAUGUCCUGGGCCGCACGCGCGUUACACUGAUGCAUUCAACGAGCUUAUAACCUUGGCCGAGAGGCCUGGGCAAUCUUGUUAACGUGCAUCGUGAUAGGGAUAGAUUAUUGAAAUUAUUAAUCUUGAACGAGGAAUUCCUAGUAAACGCAGAUCAUCAAUCUGCAUUGAUUACGUCCCUGCCCUUUGUACACACCGCCCGUCGCACCUACCGAUUGGAUGGUCCGGUGAAGCCUCGGGAUUGUGGUUCUUGCCGCUUUAUUGUAGCGUGACCGCGAGAACUUGUCUAAACCUUAUCAUCUAGAGGAAGGUGAAGGCGUAACA